This 21-nucleotide microRNA is filed under the name Homo sapiens (human). RNAcentral's name for it is "hsa-miR-8062". Lineage: Eukaryota; Metazoa; Chordata; Mammalia; Primates; Hominidae. The record is from miRBase by way of RNAcentral.
CAGUGAUUUGAGGAUUAUUGC